Molecule: ribosomal RNA, 487 nt
Filed under: uncultured bacterium
Lineage: Bacteria
Description: bacterial SSU rRNA
Rfam family: Bacterial small subunit ribosomal RNA
Source: RNAcentral
AGAGUUUGAUCCUGGCUCAGAAUGAACGUUGGGCGGCGUGGAUUAGGCAUGCGAGUCGUGCGAGAACCGUAGCAAUACGGGGACAGCGGCGAAAGGGAGAGGAACACGUGGAUACCUACCCUCAGGUUCAGGAUAGCUAUGGGAAACUAUAGGUAAUACUGAAUAAUAUCUCCGGAUCAAAGGUGUGAUUCCGCCGGAGGAGGGGUCCGCGUCCUAUUAGCUAGUUGGUGAGGUAAUGGCUCACCAAGGCGAAGAUGGGUACGGGAUGUGAGAACAUGAUCCCGCUCAUUGGGACUGAGACACUGCCCAGACACCUACGGGUGGCUGCAGUCGAGAAUCUUCGGCAAUGGGGGAAACCCUGACCGAGCGACGCCGCGUGUGAGAUGAAGGCCUUCGGGUUGUAAAUCACUGUCGUAGAGGAGGAAGUGUAGGUGGGUUCUCCCACUUAUUUGACCUAUUCUAGGAGGAAGGACGGGCUAAGUUCGUG